GACGAACGCUGGCGGCGUGCUUAACACAUGCAAGUCGAACGGAGAGGCCCUGCUUUUGUGGGGUGCUCGAGUGGCGAACGGGUGAGUAACACGUGAGUAACCUGCCCUUGACUUUGGGAUAACUUCAGGAAACUGGGGCUAAUACCGGAUAGGAGCUCCUGCUGCAUGGUGGGGGUUGGAAAGUUUCGGCGGUUGGGGAUGGACUCGCGGCUUAUCAGCUUGUUGGCGGGGUAGUGGCUUACCAAGGCUUUGACGGGUAGCCGGCCUGAGAGGGUGACCGGCCACAUUGGGACGGAGAUACGGCCCAGACUCCUACGGGAGGCAGCAGUGGGGAAUAUUGCACAAUGGGCGGAAGCCUGAUGCAGCAACGCCGCGUGCGGGAUGACGGCCUUCGGGUUGUAAACCGCUUUCGCCUGUGACGAAGCGUGAGUGACGGUAAUGGGUAAAGAAGCACCGGCUAACUACGUG
This 468-nucleotide ribosomal RNA is filed under the name uncultured bacterium. RNAcentral describes it as "partial 16S ribosomal RNA". It matches the Rfam family "Bacterial small subunit ribosomal RNA", at positions 28 to 507 of the family's 1533-position model. The record is from RNAcentral.